UUCUCUUUUUUUGUUAUUGCAUUAGAUGUUUCACUACAGCAAUCCUUCCUCUUCUGAUAAUAGAUGCGUUGCUCCGUAACGAUUGCCAUCCAUCGGCAAUAAUAUGCCAACGCUCUGACGAGUCACAUGUGUCACCAUCCUUUGCCUCCGGACCUAUUUAAUAUUAUUUAUAAUUAUCAUAAAUAUUGAUUAUCUAAUUAUAUUUAUUGAGAUAAUUUUAUGUUAAUUAGUUGAGGUUAAAUAUUUUGGAUAAUCUUAUUAUAUAGUUUCUCUUAAUUUAUUUUUUUCAUUCGCAAGAGUUUC
RNAcentral lists this long non-coding RNA (303 nucleotides) under Elaeis guineensis (African oil palm). RNAcentral describes it as "long non-coding RNA (EGUI_LNC028381)". The record is from RNAcentral. Lineage: Eukaryota; Viridiplantae; Streptophyta; Magnoliopsida; Arecales; Arecaceae.